RNAcentral lists this ribosomal RNA (468 nucleotides) under uncultured bacterium. Its description in RNAcentral is "partial 16S ribosomal RNA". It matches the Rfam family "Bacterial small subunit ribosomal RNA", at positions 28 to 507 of the family's 1533-position model. The record is from RNAcentral.
GAUGAACGCUGGCGGCGUGCUUAACACAUGCAAGUCGAGCGGAAAGGCCCUGCUCUUGUUGGGUUCUCGUUUGGCGAACGGGUGAGUAACACGUGUGUAUCCUGCCCUUGUCUUUGUGAUAUCUUCUGGAAACUGGGGCUAUUACCGGAGAUGAUAUCCUGCUGCAUGGUGUGCGUUGGAAAGUGUCGGCGGUUGUGGAUGUUCUCGCUGCUUAUGCGCUGGUUUGUCUGGUAGGGGCUUACCAAGGCUUUGACGGGUAGCCGGCCUGGGAGGUGGAACGGCCACAUGGGGACUAAGAGACGGAGCAGAAGCCUACGGGAGGCAGAAGUGGGGAAUAUUGCACAAUGGGCGGAAGCCUGAUGCGGCAACGCCGCGUGCGGGAUGACGGCCUUCGAGUUGUAAACCGCUUUCGCAUGUGACGAAGCGUGAGUGACGGUAAUGGGUAAAGAAGCACCGGCUAACUACGUG